RNAcentral lists this long non-coding RNA (17251 nucleotides) under Citrus sinensis (sweet orange). Its description in RNAcentral is "long non-coding RNA (CSIN_LNC000822)". Lineage: Eukaryota; Viridiplantae; Streptophyta; Magnoliopsida; Sapindales; Rutaceae. The record is from RNAcentral.
AUCCGAUGGUAAUUUAGUUCUUUUAAAUGAGUCUAAAACGCCCAUCUGGUCCACAAGUUUGAACUCUAGUAAUACAACAGCUUCAAUCGAAGCAGUUGUUCUAGAUGAAGGUAAUUUUGUUUUGAGAGAUUCUUCAGCUAAUUCAACCUUAUGGCAAAGCUUUGAUCAUCCGACUCAUACAUGGCUUCCCGGAAUGAAGUUUGGAAUAAACAAACGGGCAAAAGUAAACCAAUUUCUCAUCUCAUGGAAGAAUAAAGAGGAUCCUGCACCGGGUCUCUUUUCGCUUGAGCUAGCCCCAGAUGGAUCGGAUCAAUAUGUUAUAAUGUGGAAUAGGUCUGAACAAUACUGGAAUAGUGGAGUCUGGACUGGAAUAAAUUUUGCCAAUGUUCCGGAAAUGAUAUCUCAUCAUAAUUUCGACUUCAACUACAUUUCGGAUGAAAAUGGGAGAUAUUUCGUUUAUUCUGUUACUAAUUCUAUGACAACUCGUUUUGUUAUUGAUUCUUCAGGGCAGAUUGAGCAGAUGUUUUGGUUGGAGUCUAGCAAGGCUUGGUUUCAGUUCUGGUCGCAACCAAGGCAACCUUGUGAUGUUUAUGCUUAUUGUGGCGCAUUUGGCAGCUGUAAUGAGGGAAACCAGUCUUUCUGUGCUUGUCUGCCAGGUUUUAGGCCAAAAUGGGAGAACAAUUGGAACUUGAUGCAGGAUUAUUCUUCUGGCUGUGUGAGGAAAACCCAACUGCAGUGUGAAAAUACUGUUGUUACAAAUGGAAAGAGUGACAAGUUUUUAGCAAAUUCUCACAUGGUAUUGCCUAAACAUCCACAAUCUGUGGCAGUUUUUGUGGAAGCAUGAAAUGAUCUAGCUGAUAUAUAACUCAUCCCUGGUAUCUUCACCCCACCAUAUGGUUGAGAGCAUACCCAAGUUGGCUGUCCAUGAGAAGAAAAAUCAGAAUAAGAAUGCAGGCAGGAUGCACCAUGGGUAAAACCAUGCUGGCUACUGCAAGUUUUCUGCGCCAUAUAAGGAUUCUUGUAACAUUUCAAUUCAAAUGGCACCUCUAAAACUUCUUUCUUACAUAAACAAGACUUGUUAUGAGGCCUCAAGAAAUUAUGCCCCUGACAUUCCAGUCCUUUCUUGCUUCUGCAAUAAUUUUGAGGGUUAAAGGAUCCCUUUGUUUUCAAUUUCUGUUCUUCAUAUUCAUCCAAUUCACAAGUGGCUACUUGACUUCAUUGGGACACAUGUCGAUCAAGUCUCCUAUUUAAUCUCUGAUGAGCAACCCAUCGAGAGGACUCAACCAACACCUUCUCUGCUGUACCGUACAUCCGCCUUGGCCGUGCUUGUCUGCCAGGUUUUAGGCCAAAAUGGGAGAACAAUUGGAACUUGAUGCAGGAUUAUUCUUCUGGCUGUGUGAGGAAAACCCAACUGCAGUGUGAAAAUACUGUUGUUACAAAUGGAAAGAGUGACAAGUUUUUAGCAAAUUCUCACAUGGUAUUGCCUAAACAUCCACAAUCUGUGGCAGGAGGGAGUAUCAAGGAAUGUGAAAAAACCUGCUCGAGGAACUGCUCUUGCACUGCUUAUGCUUAUGAAGACAAUGCUUGUUCAAUAUGGAUUGGAAGUCUCUUGAGUCUGCAUCAACUUUCACCAGGCGACGCAAAUGGGAAAACUAUUCAUGUCAAGCUUGCAGCUUCGGAGUUUUCAAGUUCCAGUAAUAACAAGGGAACAGUCAUUGGUGCUGUCGUGGGUUCAGUGUCAUUUGUAGCUCUAUUAGGCCUUCUUGCUUUUAUGUAUUUCAGGAAGAGAGAGAAUACAAUGAAAACAAGCAAAUCAGUGGAGGAUGGUUCGUUGGUGGCAUUUGCAUACAAGGAUUUGCUAACAGCCACAAAGAAUUUCUCUGAAAAAUUGGGGGGAGGAGGUUUUGGUUCUGUUUUCAAAGGGAGGCUGCCUAAUUCAAGUGUCAUAGCUGUGAAGAAGCUGCAGAGCUUCAGCCAAGGAGAGAAACAAUUCAGAGCAGAAGUCAGCACAAUAGGGAACAUCCAACAUGUCAAUCUAGUUAGGCUUCGUGGAUUCUGCUCUGAAGGUACAAAAAAAUUAUUGGUCUAUGAUUACAUGCCAAAUGGAUCCCUAGAUUCGCACAUCUUCCAUAGAGAGAAUUCAAAGGUUCUUGAUUGGGAAACAAGAUACCAAAUUGCACUAGGGACAGCCAGAGGAUUGGCUUAUCUCCACGAGAAGUGCAGAGACUGCAUCAUACACUGCGACAUAAAGCCAGAGAACAUUCUAUUAGAUGUUCAAUGGUGUCCAAAAGUGGCAGAUUUUGGCAUGUCAAAGCUUGUUGGGAGAGAAUUCAGCAGAGUCCUAACGACCAUUAGAGGAACAAGAGGGUAUCUCGCACCAGAAUGGCUUUCAGGAGUGGCCAUAACAGCAAAAGCUGAUGUUUACAGCUAUGGAAUGAUGCUCUUUGAAAUUGUUUCAGGAAGGAGAAACUUUGAAUGGAACUCUGUAUACUCUGAAGAUGAAGAAAUGAAAUACUUCCCAACUUGGGCAGCAAGCCUAAUGAGUGAAGGUGGCAAUGUGCUUAGCCUUUUAGACAAAAGACUUGAGGGUAGUGCUGAUGUAGAAGAGCUUUCAAGGAUUUGCAAAGUUGCUUGUUGGUGUAUCCAAGAUGAUGAAACUCAUAGGCCAUCAAUUGGUCAAGUGGUUCAAAUACUUGAGGGGGUUUUGGAAGUGACUCAGUCUCCAAUUCCAAGAUCCCUUAAAGUAAUCGCAGAUAACAAGGAGGAUAUAAUCUUCUUCACCGAGUCAUCUGAGACUUCAGGUGCUUCAUCUCAAGCUAAGUUCGCUGGAUCAUCAGCAAGUUCCUAAAUCCUUACCAAGAUAAUCAAUUUUAUUUGAGUAGUAUUUGUUAUUUCUGUUUUUUGGAUUUGGGUGGUGUUUUGUUAUUUCUGUUUGACUAUAGUCUUGAAUUUAUUGCCCUUAUUUGAGUACUAUUAUCCUAGAUAGUCUACUAUACAUAUAUGGUAUUAAUCUAUAUUAUUUUCAUAUGGUUUGAACUUCGUAUGUCGUAGCAUAAUGUUUAUCAAAAUCUCGUGUCUGCAAGUUGUUUAUUUUCUAGCUGUUAAUAAUGUCCACUCGAAUGAUAACAAUUUAUCUACCUGUUAAUAUAUGAUUUUAAUAUAUGUUUAUAUGCAGAACACAACAUAACAGAACCAACCAUUUGAAAUUUCAUUUCAGUUGGACGAGUAAUCUAAAGUCGAAUUUCACUGUCAUCAAUGGUGAAACAAAGAGUCCAGUUCAUACUUCAGAGUCGUUGCAAAUUAAUUAAAAUGACUAGAAGAUUGGAAUGAUUAGCGAAAUAGACAAACUGAAUUGAUAAGAUAAACAAAUAGAUAGAAUAAAACUAAAACUAUGUACUGAAAACAUCCGAAUUUGUUGCAGUGUAUUGCAGCACCAAUUUCAUUUGGGCCAAGAAUGUACAAAGAAGCAAAAUCUUGACGAGUUAUGUUCGAUAAAGUUCAAUGCAGUUAAAUGAAAAAACUGAAACUAACCCCUCUGUAUAUUCCAGUUUCUAUUCUGUUUCCAAUGCACCGCAAAAACUUAUACGCAGUAAUGAGACUGCAGUAGCACAUUACAAAAUGAUACAUCUGCAUGUCCCCUAUAAUAUCUGUUCAUGCUAAGUAACCCAAAUCUGCAAUGGUAAUUGGUUGAAGAAAAGAGGGUACUAAUCGUAUUAUAAUACUGAAUAUGGUCAGCUUAGUAUUAUUUAUGGGAACUGAAAAACUCAUAGUCUUUGUGUCGAUUGACUACCUUGAUGCCAUCCGUCCAAACACAACCUCUAGCAAAAAGAGACGCAUUUUCCUCUAGUAUUCUGAGCUGUUCCCGAAGAAUUUCAGAACGGUCAAAAAGUGAAGAGUCUUUGAAAGAGGAUUCUUCAGGUACUUUGAGAUCAAACCAGCUUUCUGCCUGCAGGUAUAAAGCUUGUGAAGUGCUGUACCACAGCUCUGAUCAAUAUCCAGAGAAGAAUUAUAGCUUAUCUCAAAAUGAGUGAAAUUAUUAAAAUAUAUAUAUGUAUAGCUCAUUUCUAUAAUCCAUUGGGUUCAUAGUCUUAGAUAUCCUGAUAAGAAUUCCAACCCACUGCUUCUACAUAUACCCAGACAUUGAACACAAUUUGGUUUAUUUAUUUCUUAACAACAUCAUGGUCGUGAUUCAAAGUUCAAAACAUGAAUUUCAAGGAUUAUGAUAUCUAUGUGGCACGUGUGUCAAGUUUAGUAAAACUUAAAUCUCCAUGGGAAUUCGAUGAAAAUCGACAAGCUCCUUCUUAGUCAUAGGUCCGGGCGGCAAAGCUUAUUCAGUUUUGACUUUGGAUACCUGACUGCCUGAACAAUUGAUUAAGGACGAACCUAUACUAUGCACGUCGGAUAGUAGCAGCAGAACCACUCAAAAUAGGCAGAAGAUUGCAAUCUAAACCAAUAUAUGACAAGGGUAGAACAUAUAGAGCUUAAACUUUACCUGUGCCUUGUAGCUUAGCAAUCCCACUACAGGGGAGACAACACAGAGUGUUUUCUUUUUGAGGGUAUCAGUUGGCACAUCUCUCAUAACCAUAUGUCCUAGCGAAUGAUAAGUCAAGAAAGCUGCACCAAAUUUCCCUUCGGGAAUUCGAAAUAUAGGAUACCAAGCCACUGAAAACCUAAAACCAAUUUAUUCAGGUUGUAAUAAGAAUGUCACAGAUUGGUUCCCCCCACCCCAAAAAAUAAGUAAAUAAAUGAAAGCACCAUGUGGUGACUGAUUCUCACCAGGAUGCAAGAUGUAGAUCAUUCAGCUUCAAAGAUUUCAACUUUGAUAUGUCACCAAAUACUUGAAGAUAAGAAGCUUCAGCAUCAAAAAGAUCCAGAAUUCUGCAAUUAGUAAUUAGUUAAGAUCAAUCCAGAUACAUCUUAACACCCCAUUUCAAAUAAAAAUGAUGAGGGUUUCAAUGAAUUGUAAACAGAAUGAGAAGAAAGAGUUCAACGAAAAAAAGCCUACAUGAUUAGCGGUGAUUGGAAAUGGAUAACUAUGAGUGAGUACGAAUUAAGAUAACAAGAUAAAAAGAAGACACAACUACAGCAGUGAGGACAAAACAUGUCAAACCUUCAACUAGGGCAAUGGUUGGGCACACCACACAAGAAAAGCUGAAACGGAACUACAAAUCAACCUUGUAGAAUCAUCAUUUUCAUGUACGACUUUUAUGAAUUCUGUAAAUAUGGCAAUGUAAGUUUUGAGGUAAGAAAGCAGAACUCUCAAUGCACAUGGUACAAUAACCUACAGCAAUAUCUUAAAUACUCCAAGAUGCAAUUUCUUCAAGUUAAUGAAUAAACUACAGAUUAAAUACCAUGUGAGAGAAAUAUGUCAGACUCAAGUUUAGAAAAAUAGUUCUAAUAGCAUCCACUAUAAAUAAUUGAUUGUAUAUCAACCUAGCAAUUUGAUUUAGCUACGGCCUGAUGAUUAUAAUUUUCAAUACAGCAAGCGAAAGAUAAAGGCUAGUGGCGAAAUUUACUUAUUAUGAAGAGGCCUUCGCAGCCAAGGUUUCUCAGUUUCAAAAAAUUCAAAUAAAAGUUCACAAUUACUGGAGCGAUCAGGUGAUGGAGUGAAACUCUGGGAGUGGCCUUCAGGACAGAAAGCUUUAUAUGAAUUGACACUCUCUUCAAUCGAGCCAAAUUUCAGCUCUGGGGCCAAAAGAUUUUUUCCCUCUAAUGCUGUUGAGCUAUUUCUGAUAUACAUGUCAGAGUUGGAGCGCUCUUCACUUGUACCACAAGAAUUAGAUAGAUAUGUGUAGCCAAACAAUUGAACAGCUGAAAGACAAGGAACAAAAUGAGCAUCAAACGAUGCUGAUUCAGUAAGCCGCCCUUUUAGUUUCUGAGAAUGACUUUUAGUCCAUAAUUCCCUGGCUCCUCGUACCAGUUCCAAACAGAAAAAAGUGAUGUAUUAGGUAUCUGGUGCUUACACAAGGAGCUAUCAGACAACUGAUCACCCAAACACAAAGAACAUUUUCCGUGUUGAUAUAAUGAGGCAAUAGCAGGAGCAGCGGAGUGGAGGAAUCUUUCGAACUCCGCAAGUGGACAUCCUGUUUCUAGCUCAAAACCCUCAGAUACUAGUUGCAUUUUGUAAGCAGCAUUUAGGGGAUCUGUUACCAUUAAGCCAACGAUAAGCUGUUGAACAUCUUUCAAAUUUUGCACAUAUUUCAUUCUAAUUUCAGCACUCUUGAUGUGAUGGACUUCUGUUGUGGUACACUGACUGUCAGAAUUUGGAGCUUCAGUUUCAACUAGAUUCAAACUGCUGCUACCAAUUAAGUGUGUACUUUUAAAUUUGCUUAACAUGGCAGAUGCACGAUGAUCAAUUACAUUUCCCCCCGAACGGCCAUCCUUCUCUACUUCAUGUAAAAGUCGCAAGUCGCCAUUACAAACAUGACAGAUACCGGCAGAACCAGUUUUUUCUGAAAUACUUGACCCCUUAGUGCCGACAGCAACCCACUUCUUUGCAUUCAUUCUAGAAGUAACAUCUUUUAUGAAUUGGUUUUCAUUAAAUUGUUCAAAUUUUACGCAUGAUUCACUUUUUGUGGAAGCAUGAAAUGAUCUAGCUGAUACGUAACUCAUCCCUGGUAUCUUCACCCCACCGUAUGGUUGAGAGCAUACCCAAGUUGGCUGUCCAUGAGAAGAAAAAUCAGAAUAAGAAUGCAGGCAGGAUGCACCAUGGGUAAAACCAUGCUGGCUACUGCAAGUUUUCUGCGCCAUAUAAGGAUUCUUGUAACAUUUCAAUUCAAAUGGCACCUCUAAAACUUCUUUCUUACAUAAACAAGACUUGUUAUGAGGCCUCAAGAAAUUAUGCCCCUGACAUUCCAGUCCUUUCUUGCUUCUGCAAUAAUUUUGAGGGUUAAAGGAUCCCUUUGUUUUCAAUUUCUGUUCUUCAUAUUCAUCCAAUUCACAAGUGGCUACUUGACUUCAUUGGGACACAUGUCGAUCAAGUCUCCUAUUUAAUCUCUGAUGAGCAACCCAUCGAGAGGACUCAACCAACACCUUCUGGUGGAUUCUCACAUCUGUUUUUGUCUUGUUAUUUCCUGCAUUUGCUACACCAAUGUGCCUAGAAGAUUCAAUUGUUGGAGUGGGCAGCAAUCCUUUACCAAAAAAUGAGUUGUGCUCGACAAAAAGGUUCUUCUGAAGCAUACUUGCAUCUCCCUGUAGAUAAUUGCGUUGCAAUUUGUUACCCUCACUGGUUUGUGUUUCCCUUACAUUCCUCUGCUUCUUCCGCCAGACUGAUUGGCUAUUUUCCUUCCCUGUCAUGAUAUGUUGGUGAUUUCUAGUCUUAUGGACAGCAUCAAGUUCAGAUGCCAAGUUGUGGCUCUUAAAUCCAUUUCUUUCUCUGAUAGCAUGAGAACUGUUACAGACAUCACACCCUUGCUUAUUCAAUCCAGAUACAUCUUAACACCCCAUUUCAAAUAAAAAUGAUGAGGGUUUCAAUGAAUUGUAAACAGAAUGAGAAGAAAGAGUUCAACGAAAAAAAGCCUACAUGAUUAGCGGUGAUUGGAAAUGGAUAACUAUGAGUGAGUACGAAUUAAGAUAACAAGAUAAAAAGAAGACACAACUACAGCAGUGAGGACAAAACAUGUCAAACCUUCAACUAGGGCAAUGGUUGGGCACACCACACAAGAAAAGCUGAAACGGAACUACAAAUCAACCUUGUAGAAUCAUCAUUUUCAUGUACGACUUUUAUGAAUUCUGUAAAUAUGGCAAUGUAAGUUUUGAGGUAAGAAAGCAGAACUCUCAAUGCACAUGGUACAAUAACCUACAGCAAUAUCUUAAAUACUCCAAGAUGCAAUUUCUUCAAGUUAAUGAAUAAACUACAGAUUAAAUACCAUGUGAGAGAAAUAUGUCAGACUCAAGUUUAGAAAAAUAGUUCUAAUAGCAUCCACUAUAAAUAAUUGAUUGUAUAUCAACCUAGCAAUUUGAUUUAGCUACGGCCUGAUGAUUAUAAUUUUCAAUACAGCAAGCGAAAGAUAAAGGCUAGUGGCGAAAUUUACUUAUUAUGAAGAGGCCUUCGCAGCCAAGGUUUCUCAGUUUCAAAAAAUUCAAAUAAAAGUUCACAAUUACUGGAGCGAUCAGGUGAUGGAGUGAAACUCUGGGAGUGGCCUUCAGGACAGAAAGCUUUAUAUGAAUUGACACUCUCUUCAAUCGAGCCAAAUUUCAGCUCUGGGGCCAAAAGAUUUUUUCCCUCUAAUGCUGUUGAGCUAUUUCUGAUAUACAUGUCAGAGUUGGAGCGCUCUUCACUUGUACCACAAGAAUUAGAUAGAUAUGUGUAGCCAAACAAUUGAACAGCUGAAAGACAAGGAACAAAAUGAGCAUCAAACGAUGCUGAUUCAGUAAGCCGCCCUUUUAGUUUCUGAGAAUGACUUUUAGUCCAUAAUUCCCUGGCUCCUCGUACCAGUUCCAAACAGAAAAAAGUGAUGUAUUAGGUAUCUGGUGCUUACACAAGGAGCUAUCAGACAACUGAUCACCCAAACACAAAGAACAUUUUCCGUGUUGAUAUAAUGAGGCAAUAGCAGGAGCAGCGGAGUGGAGGAAUCUUUCGAACUCCGCAAGUGGACAUCCUGUUUCUAGCUCAAAACCCUCAGAUACUAGUUGCAUUUUGUAAGCAGCAUUUAGGGGAUCUGUUACCAUUAAGCCAACGAUAAGCUGUUGAACAUCUUUCAAAUUUUGCACAUAUUUCAUUCUAAUUUCAGCACUCUUGAUGUGAUGGACUUCUGUUGUGGUACACUGACUGUCAGAAUUUGGAGCUUCAGUUUCAACUAGAUUCAAACUGCUGCUACCAAUUAAGUGUGUACUUUUAAAUUUGCUUAACAUGGCAGAUGCACGAUGAUCAAUUACAUUUCCCCCCAAAUGGCCAUCCUUCUCUACUUCAUGUAAAAGUGGCAAGUCGCCAUUACGAACAUGACAGAUACCAGCAGAACCAGUUUUUUCUGAAAUACUUGACCCCUUAGUGCCAACAGCAACCCGCUUCUUUGCAUUCAUUCUAGAAGUAACAUCUUUUAUGAAUUGGUUUUCAUUAAAUUGUUCAAAUUUUACGCAUGAUUCACUUUUUGUGGAAGCAUGAAAUGAUCUAGCUGAUACGUAACUCAUCCCUGGUAUCUUCACCCCACCGUAUGGUUGAGAGCAUACCCAAGUUGGCUGUCCAUGAGAAGAAAAAUCAGAAUAAGAAUGCAGGCAGGAUGCACCAUGGGUAAAACCAUGCUGGCUACUGCAAGUUUUCUGCGCCAUAUAAGGAUUCUUGUAACAUUUCAAUUCAAAUGGCACCUCUAAAACUUCUUUCUUACAUAAACAAGACUUGUUAUGAGGCCUCAAGAAAUUAUGCCCCUGACAUUCCAGUCCUUUCUUGCUUCUGCAAUAAUUUUGAGGGUUAAAGGAUCCCUUUGUUUUCAAUUUCUGUUCUUCAUAUUCAUCCAAUUCACAAGUGGCUACUUGACUUCAUUGGGACACAUGUCGAUCAAGUCUCCUAUUUAAUCUCUGAUGAGCAACCCAUCGAGAGGACUCAACCAACACCUUCUGGUGGAUUCUCACAUCUGUUUUUGUCUUGUUAUUUCCUGCAUUUGCUACACCAAUGUGCCUAGAAGAUUCAAUUGUUGGAGUGGGCAGCAAUCCUUUACCAAAAAAUGAGUUGUGCUCGACAAAAAGGUUCUUCUGAAGCAUACUUGCAUCUCCCUGUAGAUAAUUGCGUUGCAAUUUGUUACCCUCACUGGUUUGUGUUUCCCUUACAUUCCUCUGCUUCUUCCGCCAGACUGAUUGGCUAUUUUCCUUCCCUGUCAUGAUAUGUUGGUGAUUUCUAGUCUUAUGGACAGCAUCAAGUUCAGAUGCCAAGUUGUGGCUCUUAAAUCCAUUUCUUUCUCUGAUAGCAUGAGAACUGUUACAGACAUCACACCCUUGCUUAUUCUCAUCUGGAACUUUACAGCAAGUUCUACUAUUGCAGUUUUGAAUAUUCAGAUCUUCAGAACACAGUUUCACUUGUAUUUCACAUAGAGAAGUUGAAUUGACCAGUGGGGUAUCUUUUUCCAAGCCCUUUUCACAGUUUAUAGCAGGAUUGAGUAUAUCCUCCAUAAUUGAUGAAGAAGAUGACUUUGCAUCAAUAACAUCAUAUUUACUUUCUCCUGCCAUAGAAACAAUCUUAUCGGAGAUCUUUUUACUUGAAUAAGUUCUCUUUUGUUGUUCUUCUUUUUCUUUCUAAAAUGUUUCUUGAACUUCGGAUCAUCAGUAAUUGAAUCCACUUUGCUGUUUACCUGCUUAUCACUAAAACCAAGAGUAUCUGAUUGGAAAGAUCCAGCACAUCUUGACUUCUCAUUACACACAACAUCUGGUACAGCUAGAUCUCCGUACGGCUUCAAAGCCUCAGAGAUCCAGAUGUCACCAAGAACUGCACAACCUAAAGAGCUUGACGAACUACAGAUACCAUUUCCCCGUUCUAUAUGUUGAACUAAUGCCCCUGAAACUUCCAUCUCUAGAACAUUUAUCAAUUUAAAGAUUUUCAGUCCUUAUCUAAAUCAACACCAGAAAACAAAGCCUGCAAUGGGAAAUGAACAAGUUAAAGAAAAGAGGCACGAUCAAGUUCAAAAUGAAAUCAAAUCCUACUAGAGACAGAUAACAUGUUAACAAUAAAGUCAACAGAAUUUGAAUGAAACAAGAAUCCACUCCAGCCUGUCAAAUAUUAAAGCAACAGAAAAGCAAAGAACCAAAAGAGCAUCUCAUUUAUCAUAUGAACCAAAGAUUGGAUAAAGUUAGUAAAAAUAAUUGGAAUAAAAUGAUAUGAACAAGCACUCAAACCAAAUAUACUCAUAUGACCCUAAAAUUUGCAUUUUAGUUAAUAAGAUACUAAAAUGAAUUUAACUAACUACCUAACAGUACAAGCACACAUCUCAUGAAACAAACCAAUUUAUCAGGGCAUUUGCGUACAUACAAAAGUCCAAAUAUCUCUUUAAAUCAAACCCACCUAAUUUUUACCAACAAAAGUUAUUUUUCUUGACCUAAUAUAACUCAAGGGUAAAACUAAAUAUGACCCCAAGAAAUAACCCAAACCAUGUAAUUUAUUCAAAUGCACGUUUUCAAGUACUUCUCAGACAGUUAUUUAAUUCAUCUGCUACCCAGAAAAAAAAAAUGAAAGUAGAAAAAAAGAACAAGAACAAGAAAAAGAAUGCCACUUUACCAAGUGCAGGUGAUGGGUUCUUGUGACUGCUCAAAGAACCCAGAAAAUAUAAUUAAAAGGAAAUAUCCAUGUUCCUUUAACCAAAUUAAGAAACAUACAAAGAAAACGACAAUUUUUGAAACAAGAAACGUGAAUAAUACUGAUCAAAUUAUGACACCCGUAUUGAAUUUAGAUCAAACAAAAAGAUUAAACAGAAAAAAAAAGGAAAAGAUAAAAGAAAAAGAAAGUACCUGAGAGACAAAAUGAGAAGCGCGCCAGAAGCCAAAAUAUGAAAAAUGGGUUUUUGGGGUUGACUUUUGAGUCUGUUUCAAUUUUUAUUUAACGGAUUUCUUGAAAUUGCUAGGAAAUAUUCUCUUUUUUAGAGUGUGGAGUAGGCAUAUCACAGUUGAUGAGGUCGAAUCUCUCUCUAUGGGCGCCAUGUGUCUAAUACGUAUGAUGAUAACACAAGCAAAAUACCAUAAUGGAUGGAUUAUGGGCAGCCCGCGGAAUUGUCUGUUUUACCCCGCUAUUGUAACCAUCCAGGAGGAUCCGUUUUAAUAUGUUUUUUUGCUACACUUUAAAUAUUCCAAUAAAUUAAUUAAUUCAUGUUUAUAAACAGUGUUAUGGAAAAUAAGGGAGAUGGUGAAUAAAUAAUAUUAUAAGUUUUUUAAAAAGUUACAUAAAUAAAAUUAAUAGUUUUUUAAAUAAAAAAUUAUUUCUAAAGAAACAUGAAUUACUGCCAAGUAGCAUGUGAAUAAACAUUUAAUUAUUCAAAAAAGAAUGAUUAUGUACUCUUUGAUGUAUGUUACGACGUUAAUUGGUGAGAAUGAAAUAUUGUACAAUAAAUUAUCUUAGAAAUUUAUUAAAGUAUACUAUGUACCAAUGAAUGUUAUUUUUUCCAAUGAAAAUUUUGGGAUGAUAAAUUGAUAAUAUUAGGGAUAGGACUAUUUGAGCUCUAAAAAUUAUUUUAAAUACUCUAUUAUUCUAUAGAUUUGUGUACUAUGAACUCUCGACUUUCUUCCAAUAGUUAGUAGUGUGAAAGUGGUGUAAUGAGGGAGUGAUGUGGUGUCUUAAUUACUCUCCCGUUUAGCUCUUUGUUAAUGUUUUUUAGGUCUGCUGUUUUAAAUUUGUGAAGUUUUUUAUAUUGUCGCUAUUUUCCAUUAUUGUUAUUGGUGGUCUAUAUGAUGGAUACGAUGGAAUUAGCGAAACUUUGUGGCUCUUUAACUUUGCGUGACAAAGCAAGUACGAUUUUGUCUCAGAUGCUGUCCAAAAGCGAAGGGAGGCAAUGGCAGUGAAUUACUUGAUUAGUAAGAUAUUAACGAAGCAGGUGAUUUCCAAAGAUGCCUUCACUAAGAAUUUUCCAGUGAUUUGAAGAACAUUCAGGGAGUUAAGAUCAAAUGUUUAGAGAAGAAUGUAUUCUUGUUCUGUUUUAGCUGACGAGUUCUUUUGUUGGCCCAUGGCAUUUUGAUAGGACAUUGGUUGUUCUCACUCCAUUGCAAGGUAAUGGUGAUUUGACUGUGGAAUGUUCUGACAAAGUGAUAUUUUGGGUGUAAAUUUAUAACGUGCCCUUAUUGUAUAUAUUAAAAGAGAUAACUGAACUUCAACUGAGUAUACAUGGAACGAUGGAGAAAAUAAAUAUGAGAUCAUCUGGUGAUUGUAUGAGAAAGUAUCUGAAAGUCUAUGUUACUUUUGAUAUUGUGUUACCUUUGAUAUUUCUUAUUCGUUAAAACGGAAUUUACGUGUGAAAUUCCAUUCAUUGGAUCUUAAAUGUGUGUUUGGUACAAUAUGAGAAGUAGUUAAAUUUUUAUUUUCACUGUGAUAGGAUAAGACAUAUAUUUCAUAAGUGUGAGGUGCAUGAGUUAGCAUGGGCAGAGGAUGGCUCCCACACCACUCUUCUGUUUGGGAAUUGGAUGAGAAUGACUGUUGGUGCUUUCGUCAAACGGCUAAAAAAUCCACUAAUGGUCAAGGCUAAUACAAAGAGUGGCAGUGAGGAGUUGAAUGCAUCGUUGAUGACACCAAAUAAGCCGGAUACAGUUAUUAAUGGUGUGAAAAUUUUGGAUGAAUUUCAAAAUGUGAGUGAUUUAAAUUUUGAAAGCGCUAAUGUUGCAGACAAGGGAGCUUUUCCUUAGCUUAUGAUCUUUGGUUUCUAUAUGGCUUCUUGGCUGCUUAACUUCUUUACGGCUUCUAGGCCGCUUGACCUCUUUACGGCUCCUAAGUGUUCGACUUCUUUAUGGUUUCUUGGUUGCUUUACUUCUUUAUGCUCUGCUUCCUUGAUGCCUCUAUGUUUCUUUUUCCCUUUCUUUUCCUUCUCGUCUGCGCCUCCAUUUCGUUCCUACAUAUUUUGACAGCACAGAAUUUUUGGUUGUUGCAGCGGCCAUGGAAAUCAUCAAGAACAAUUCAUGGUUGAUGCUUUUUGUUCUUUUCACGUGCUUCUCACUCAAAUCCCAUGUCUCCUUCGGAGCUGACACCAUUUCUGCAAACCAAUCUCUCUCUGGUGAUCAAACGAUCGUUUCUAAAGGUGGGGUCUUUGCAUUUGGUUUCUUCAACCCAGCUCCUGGUAAGUCUUCAAACUAUUACAUAGGCAUGUGGUACAAUAAAGUCUCUGAAAGAACUAUAGUUUGGGUAGCCAACAGAGAACAGCCAGUUUCUGAUAGAUUCUCUUCGGUUUUAAGAAUCUCAGAUGGUAACUUAAUUCUUUUUAAUGAGUCCCAACAACCCAUUUGGUCCACAAUUUUGACCGCUACCAGCAGACGUUCUGUGGUAGCAGUUCUUUUAGAUGAAGGAAAUCUUGUUUUGAGAGAUUUGUCAAAUAAUUUGUCGGAGCCGUUAUGGCGAAGUUUUGAUCAUCCAGCUCAUACUCGGAUUCCCGGUAUGAAGCUGACGUUCAACAAGAGAAACAACGUCAGUCAACUUCUCACUUCAUGGAAGAAUAAAGAAAAUUCUGCACCGGGUCUCUUCUCCCUUGAGCUAGCACCAGAUGCAUCAAAUCAAAAUGCUAUUUUGUGGAAUAGGUCUGAGCAGUACUGGAGAAGUGGACCUUGGGAUGAUAAUGCAAAAAUUUUCAGCUUGGUCCCUGAAAUGACACUAAAUUAUAUCUACAAUUUCAGCUAUGUGUCGAAUGAAAACGAGAGCUAUUUCACCAACAAUGUGAAAGAUAGCACUUACACAUCUCGAUUCAUUAUGGAUGUUUCAGGACAGGUUAAGCAGAUGAAUUGGUUGCCUACCAACUCUUGGUUUCUGUUUUGGUCCCAACCAAGACAGCAAUGCAAGGGUUAUGCUUUUUGUGGUCAAUUUAGCACCUGCAAUGAGCAAACUGAGCGUUUUUGUUCUUGUUUGAAAGGUUUUCAACAAAAAUCGGUGAGUGACUGGAAUUUGGAAGAUUAUUCUGGUGCCCGCUGCAGUGUGAAAAUAAUAGUCUUGCCAAUGGAAAAAGCGACCAAUUUUUCCAGUACAGUAACAUGAAAUUGCCUAAACAUCCACAAUCUGUGGCAGUAGGGGGUAUCAGGGAAUGUGAAACACACUGCUUGAAUAACUGCUCUUGCACUGCUUAUGCUUACAAAGACAACGCUUGCUCGAUUUGGGUAGGAAGUUUCGUGGGUCUGCAACAGCUACAAGGAGGUGGAGAUACCAUUUAUAUCAAGCUUGCAGCUUCUGAGUUCUCGAGUCCCAAGAAUAAACAGGGAGUAUUCAUUGGCAGUGUUGUGGGCACAGUGGCUGUCGUAGCUCUUAUUGGCCUGAUCAUGCUUGUAUACUUGAGAAGGAGAAAGACAGCAACUGUAACAACCAAAACUGUGGAGGGUUCUUUGGUGGCAUUUGCAUGCAAGGAUUUGCAAACUGCCACAAAGAAUUUCUCUGAAAAGCUGGAGGGAGGAGGUUUUGGUUCAGUUUUCAAAGGGGUGUUGCCGAAUUCAAGUCUCAUAGCUGUGAAGAAGCUUGAAAGCUGGAGCCAAGGAGAGAAGCAAUUUCGGACUGAAGUCAGUACCAUAGGGAAUAUCCAACAUGUCAAUCUGGUUCGGCUUCUGGGUUUCUGCUCUGAACUAGUAGGUUGUUGGUCUACGAUUUCAUGCCAAACGGUUCUUUAGACUCUCAUCUCUUCACUGAAAAAGAUUCAGACUUUCAUGAUUGGAAGACAAGAUACCAAAAUUCAAUGGGGACAGCCAGAGGUUUGGCUUAUCUCCAUGAGAAGUGCAGAGACUGCAUCAUACACUGUGACAUAAAGCCAGAGAACAUUCUGUUAGAUGCUGAAUUUUGUCCCAAAGUGUCGGAUUUUGGGCUCGCAAAGCUUGUUGGGAGGGAGUUCAGCCGUGUCCUAACAACCAUGAGAGGAACAAGAGGUUACCUUGCACCUGAAUGGAUUUCAGGAGUGGCCAUAACAGCCAAAGCGGAUGUCUACAGCUACGGAAUGUUGCUGUUUGAAUUUGUAUCAGGAAGGAGGAGCUCGGAGGAAUCUGAAGAUGGUAAAGUGAAGUUCUUCCCAUCUUGGGCUGCUAAACGAAUAGUUGAAGGCAGCAAUCUCGUUAGCCUCUUAGACCCAAGACUGGAGGGCAACGCUGACGAAGAAGAGCUUGCAAGACUUUGCAAAGUGGCUUGUUAGUGCAUCCAAGAUGAUGAGACUCACAGGCCAUCAAUGUGUCAAGUAGUUCAAAUUCUUGAGGGAGUUUUGGACGUGGCACUGCCUCCAAUUCCCAGAGCUCUCCAAGUAAUGAUCGACAACCAUGAGCACGUAGUCUUCUUCACUAUCUCAGAGUUUUUUUAAUCAAAGAGCAACAAUUCAACUGCUUCAUCUCAAGCAAAGAGCACCACAUCAUCAAGAAGUUCUUAAAUCGGUGUGAAGAAAAUAUUUUCACAUUUGUGUUUUAAGAAUAUGUAUUUGGCUAAUUUCACUUGUAACAACCUGUAUGCAUACUUGGAUAGAAGCCUUGCUUCGUAGUGUAUAAUAAUAAUGCAACCUGCCAAAGCAAUUUUAAGAAUCACAAGCCUUUUGCCUCGCUGUUCUCUCUAAUGAACUCUGAUUGAUCUAUGCUCCCCUGCAUUGACUAUUGGUUUCACCUAAUCGCUUCAAUUGUCAAAAUUAGGUAUUGAAAUGAAAGUUAUCCAGAAGAAGGGGAAAAACAGCGAAAUCAAUCAAACAAACAAACAAACUUAAACGCGACGUUGUAAUAAAUAACAUGGGUCAAGAUAUGAAUCAACUGGCCAACAUUGUUGAAUUGUCCGUAUUUUUAUCGACUUCAAUUGGCUAACAAGUUUCCUUCUUUUCUUGAAGGAUGGCUUUGACGGCUUACGUAACAAAUAAUUUACGUUAGACUUUUAAAUAGUCCAUCUGAAAAAAAUUUUGUGACACGGUUGACAGUAUAAGCACAACGACAGUGAUUACUAACUGUUUCUGCUUAGGCCCGCCACACCCACCUCCAAUUUCUCCCUUAUGUCUUUGAUAAAUAGACCAUCUGUUGUUCAUAAACAACAUCUUGUCUGCACAGAAGUUUUCCAGCAGCCAUGGAUGUCAAGAAAAAUGUAUGGUUCAUGCUCUGUGUUCUCUCCAUAUGCUUCACUCUCAAACAUCAUUUAUCCUCUGCUGCUCGUGACUCCAUCUCUGCAAACCAAUUUCUCUCUGGGGAUCAAACUAUUGUCUCUGCUGGUGGGGUCUUUGAACUAGGCUUCUUCAAGCCAGGUAACUCUUCAAACUACUACAUAGGCAUUUGGUACAAAAAGUUGUCAGAACAAACCAUAGUUUGGGUGGCAAAUAGAGACAAACCAGUUUCCGAUAAAAACUCCUCAGUGUUAAGAAUAUCCGAUGGUAAUUUAGUUCUUUUAAAUGAGUCUAAAACGCCCAUCUGGUCCACAAGUUUGAACGCUAGUAAUACAACAGCUUCAAUCGAAGCAGUUGUUCUAGAUGAAGGUAAUCUUGUUUUGAGAGAUUCUUCAGCUAAUUCAACCUUAUGGCAAAGUUUUGAUCAUCCGACUCAUACAUGGCUUCCCGGAAUGAAGUUUGGAAUAAACAAACGGGCAAAAGUAAACCAAUUUCUCAUCUCAUGGAAGAAUAAGGAGGAUCCUGCACCGGGUCUCUUUUCGCUU